Long non-coding RNA from Symphalangus syndactylus (siamang), 626 nucleotides. RefSeq lists it as uncharacterized. NCBI's taxonomy places the organism in Eukaryota, Metazoa, Chordata, Mammalia, Primates, Hylobatidae. The record is from RefSeq and is a predicted model, not a curated record.
UCCUGGGCCUGGGACCGAGCGGAGCCGAGCGGGAAUUGCUUUCCCGGUUCGGUCCGCUGCCGCUGUGAGGGCCGAGCGGAAACCCGUAAACCUUUUAUGUGAAGAGACUGCGGCCUCCUGGUCAGCAGUCACCGAGAGAGGGACCCCUGGACCGCCUAGGUGGUGGUGUCUGCCGCAGGCCAUAGGGAUCCAGCCCACUCAGGCAGUCCCAUGGGGACGCGGCCUUCCCACCCGAGCGGAAAGGCGCUUCCCGCCUGCCCUGCGGUAAUCCCGGAAGCCCUCAGCUGUUAAGCCAAAAUUUCUGUUGCUUUGGCUACUGAUGGAAACCUGUUGACGUGCGAGCCAGAGAAGUGUUAUGAAGGAAGAAGAGGCAUAAGAAGGCUCCCUCUUGAGAUAAUCUGAAGAAUUGACCAGAUUGAAAACCUUUUAAAAUCUAAAUCCCUGAUUUGUUGAUAAAUCUUACUGUUCAACCUAUAGGUUCCCUUUGGAAAUUGGUUUUGAAAAGUGAAAAAUUCCAUUAUAAUGUUAAAAAGCCUCUACCAAUUUGUCCAUUUUGUAAGUUUUAAAAAUACUAAUAAUUAUAUUUCUUAACCUCAGGAUUUACAAAGUAAAGCAUUUAACCUCAA